This 461-nucleotide ribosomal RNA is filed under the name uncultured bacterium. Its description in RNAcentral is "partial 16S ribosomal RNA". It matches the Rfam family "Bacterial small subunit ribosomal RNA", at positions 29 to 507 of the family's 1533-position model. The record is from RNAcentral.
AUGAACGCUGACAGAAUGCUUAACACAUGCAAGUCGAUGGGGAAGUGGUGCUUGCACCAUGGCAACCAUGGCGGACGGGUGAGUAACGCGUAAGGGACUUACCUGCAGGACUGGGAUACAGGGGGAAACUCCUGACAAGACCGGAUAAUGUCAUGGAGCUGCAUGGCUUUAUGAUGAAAGGAGACGCCUGCGGAGAGCCUUGCGCCCUAUUAGCUAGUUGGUGAGGUAAUGGCUCACCAAGGCGAAGAUAGGUAGCCGGCCUGAGAGGGUGGACGGCCACAAGGGGACUGAGAUACGGCCCUUACUCCUACGGGAGGCAGCAGUGGGGAAUAUUGGACAAUGGGGGCAACCCUGAUCCAGCAAUUCUGUGUGCACGAAGAAGGUUUUCGGAUUGUAAAGUGCUUUCAGCAGGGAAGAAGUAAGUGACGGUACCUGCAGAAGAAGCGACGGCUAAAUACGUG